This 402-nucleotide ribosomal RNA is filed under the name uncultured bacterium. RNAcentral's name for it is "bacterial SSU rRNA". It matches the Rfam family "Bacterial small subunit ribosomal RNA", at positions 355 to 774 of the family's 1533-position model. The record is from RNAcentral.
UGGGGAAUAUUGGACAAUGGGCGCAAGCCUGAUCCAGCCAUGCCGCGUGUGUGAUGAAGGCCUUAGGGUUGUAAAGCACUUUCGCCGAUGAAGAUAAUGACGGUAGUCGGAGAAGAAGCCCCGGCUAACUUCGUGCCAGCAGCCGCGGUAAUACGAAGGGGGCAAGCGUUGUUCGGAUUUACUGGGCGUAAAGCGUACGUAGGCGGAUGAUUAAGUCAGGGGUGAAAUCCCGGGGCUCAACCUCGGAACUGCCUUUGAUACUGGUCGUCUUGAGUCCGGGAGAGGUGAGUGGAACUCCUAGUGUAGAGGUGAAAUUCGUAGAUAUUAGGAAGAACACCAGUGGCGAAGGCGGCUCACUGGCCCGGAACUGACGCUGAGGUACGAAAGCGUGGGGAGCAAACA